RNAcentral lists this ribosomal RNA (472 nucleotides) under uncultured bacterium. Its description in RNAcentral is "bacterial SSU rRNA". It matches the Rfam family "Bacterial small subunit ribosomal RNA", at positions 1031 to 1503 of the family's 1533-position model. The record is from RNAcentral.
GACACAGGUGCUGCAUGGCNGUCGUCAGCUCGUGUCGUGAGAUGUUGGNUUAGUCCCGUAACGAGCGCAACCCUUGUCCUUAGUUACCAGCACGUUAUGGUGGNCACUCUAAGGAGACUGCCGGUGACAAACCGGAGGAAGGUGGGGAUGACGUCAAGUCAUCAUGGCCCUUACGGCCUGGGCUACACACGUGCUACAAUGGUCGGUACAGAGGGUUGCCAAGCCGCGAGGUGGAGCUAAUCUCACAAAACCGAUCGUAGUCCGGAUCGCAGUCUGCAACUCGACUGCGUGAAGUCGGAAUCGCUAGUAAUCGCGAAUCAGAAUGUCGCGGUGAAUACGUUCCCGGGCCUUGUACACACCGCCCGUCACACCAUGGGAGUGGGUUGCACCAGAAGUAGCUAGUCUAACCUUCGGGAGGACGGUUACCACGGUGUGAUUCAUGACUGGGGUGAAGUCGUAACAAGGUAGCCGU